UUCCGGUUGAUCCUGCCGGAUUGACUGCUAUCGGAUUGAUACUAAGCCAUGCGAGUCAUUGUAGUAAUACAAGGCAGACGGCUCAGUAACGCGUAGUCAACCUACCCUAUGGACGGGGAUAACCUCGGGAAACUGAGAAUAAUACCCGAUAGAACAUUAUGCCUGGAAUGGUUUAUGUUUCAAAUAAUUUAUUGCCGUAGGAUGGGACUGCGGCCUAUCAGUUUGUUGGUGAGGUAAUGGCCCACCAAGACCAUUACAGGUACGGGCUCUGAGAGGAGUAGCCCGGAGAUGGGUACUGAGACACGGACCCAGGCCCUAUGGGGCGCAGCAGGCGAGAAAACUUUGCAAUGUGCGAAAGCACGACAAGGUUAAUCCGAGUGGUUUCUGCUAAAGGAACCUUUUGUCAGUCCUAGAAACACUGGUGAAUAAGGGGUGGGCAAGUUCUGGUGUCAGCCGCCGCGGUAAAACCAGCACCUCAAGUGGUCAGGAUGAUUAUUGGGCCUAAAGCAUCCGUAGCCUGCUUUGUAAGUUUUCGGUUAAAUCCAUACGCUCAACGUAUGGGCUGCCGGGAAUACUGCAAAGCUAGGGAGUGGGAGAGGUAGACGGUACUCGGUAGGAAGGGGUAAAAUCCUUUGAUCUAUUGAUGACCACCUGUGGCGAAGGCGGUCUACCAGAACACGUCCGACGGUGAGGGAUGAAAGCUGGGGGAGCAAACCGGAUUAGAUACCCGGGUAGUCCCAGCUGUAAACUAUGCAAACUCAGUGAUGCAUUGGCUUGAUGCCAAUGCAGUGCUGCAGGGAAGCCGUUAAGUUUGCCGCCUGGGAAGUACGUACGCAAGUAUGAAACUUAAAGGAAUUGGCGGGGGAGCACCACAAGGGGUGAAGCCUGCGGUUCAAUUGGAUUCAACGCCGGAA
This 914-nucleotide ribosomal RNA is filed under the name uncultured archaeon. RNAcentral's name for it is "bacterial SSU rRNA". It matches the Rfam family "Archaeal small subunit ribosomal RNA", at positions 1 to 923 of the family's 1478-position model. The record is from RNAcentral.